Molecule: ribosomal RNA, 266 nt
Filed under: uncultured bacterium
Lineage: Bacteria
Description: partial 16S ribosomal RNA
Rfam family: Bacterial small subunit ribosomal RNA
Source: RNAcentral
UACGAAGGGGGCUAGCGUUGCUCGGAAUCACUGGGCGUAAAGCGCACGUAGGCGGAUUGUUAAGUCAGGGGUGAAAUCCUGGAGCUCAACUCCAGAACUGCCUUUGAUACUGGCGAUCUCGAGUCCGGGAGAGGUGAGUGGAACUGCGAGUGUAGAGGUGAAAUUCGUAGAUAUUCGCAAGAACACCAGUGGCGAAGGCGGCUCACUGGCCCGGUACUGACGCUGAGGUGCGAAAGCGUGGGGAGCAAACAGGGAUAGAUACCCGA